CACCAGCACACGAAUUUUAAGUGUAAUGCUACUAGAAGUCUAGAACUCACACACACACAAUUACUGAGCUCGUUAACAUGGAAGCGGAGAAAUUGAAGGAGGUGCAGAUGCAUAUGCAGGUGAAGGUCAUUUAUAUCUGGAGUAUGAUAUGUUCCUCUCUCUCACACACAGACACACAGUUAAACACACACUGAUGCAGAUCCUUGUCAUUCAAGCACCGAUCGACACGUUUCAGCUGUUGGAUUUCAAACUAUGGCGAAAGAAAGAUCACCUGAUCAAGAAAUUGUCGCCUUGAUUACGAAAUGAAACACUGCAUCUUCAUGUAUGGAGUUUUAAUUUGUCGCCUUCAGGAAAUGAGAAGCUGCAUCUUAAUCUAUGGAGUUUUAUAUAUGAAGGAUAUAUAGGUAUCGUGGUUUGUCUGGUUUUGAUGUACAUGAAGCACACAGGGGAUUUAAAAGUUCUAAAGUAGCAUUCAUAAUGAGAUCUAUAUAUAUUAAUGGUAAACCAAUGCUUCUGAUUUGCAAAAUGCAUUUGAAUUUUGAUGUUUGUGACAAAGUUGUCUUGUUGCUUCUUAUCUUUUAUAUGAUCUCUUUCUCAAAUCCUUCAUUAACUAGAUAUGAUGAUUUUCUUAGUAUCUCAACUUAUAGAAAGAUCUAUAAGUUGUAUAACUGUUAUGCAUAUAGUCAAUAUUGUACCCACAAACAUUGUUGACUGUUUGGUGAAUGUUGUACUCCCUUCGUCCACGAUAUAUAUCGUUUUCACUUUUGCUA
Long non-coding RNA from Salvia miltiorrhiza (redroot sage), 770 nucleotides. RefSeq lists it as uncharacterized. The transcript has 2 exons. The record is from RefSeq and is a predicted model, not a curated record. NCBI's taxonomy places the organism in Eukaryota, Viridiplantae, Streptophyta, Magnoliopsida, Lamiales, Lamiaceae.